This is an RNA transcript of Cryptomeria japonica (Japanese cedar), 1270 nucleotides long. It is a transcript of the gene named phenylacetaldehyde reductase, with no coding region annotated. The transcript has 3 exons. The record is from RefSeq and is a predicted model, not a curated record. Lineage: Eukaryota; Viridiplantae; Streptophyta; Pinopsida; Cupressales; Cupressaceae.
AUCGAAAAUCAUCCAUUCAUUCAUUUGAAUGGAGUUUGAUAUUUUAGGUCGAUUUUAUCAACUCGCUUCGAAGUGAAAUUGUGUCCUAAAAAGCCCUGUCCUGAGUUGCCCUGUUCUGAGUUGGCAUGGCGGAUGAGGGUGAGAAGACUGUAAAACGAGUGUGCGUGACUGGAGCAGCAGGAUACAUUGGAUUAUGGCUUGUGAAGGAUCUUCUGCAAAGGGAUUACACAGUGAACGCCACACUCAGAGAUCCAGGUACUUAAUAACCUUACCCUAAACCCUUUGCCGUUUUUAUAUCUGCCAGAUCCUAAAUCCUUACCAGUAAGUAAUGCGUUUUAAAGAUUUUGUUUUAAAAAAAUUUAUGGAUACAUCGGAUAAUGGCUGGUGAAGAAUCUUCUGCAAAGGGGUUACACAGUGAAUGCAACUCUCAAAGAUCCACGUGCUUUUUAUCCUCGCCAUAUGGUAAUGCUUAAAACUACAGGAGAGAGGAAUUAUUUUGCCGUUGUUAGAUCUCUCAAACCCUAAAGCCUCACCGGUAAGUGAUGUGUUUUGAAGAUUCUUCUCUUUUUUUAUUGUCAAAUUUAUGAUUUUCAAAUGCUUAAAACUGCAGGGGACAAGAGAAAAUCUGGGUCUUUGUUAGAUCUGGCAAGAGCAGAGGAUAGGCUUAAGCUCUUCCAACCUGAUCUACUGAAGGAGGGCAGCUUUGAUUCUACAGUGGAGGAGUAAAUCUCAAGCAAAUAUUUUGUGCUUGGUAGAGGAUUGCCAAGACAUUAGCAGAACAUGAGGCCCUUAAUUAUGGUGCUCAAAACAAUCUUGUGGUGAUAACAGUGCAACUGAUUUUUGUCAUUGGGCUUUGGAUUACAACUACACAUGAUAAAAUAUCAGUUCAAGUAAUAUCAGCUCUACUUGGAGUAAAUAGCAUAUUCUAUGAAGUCCUAAAGUAUAUAUCCAAUUUGUAUUGGACUCUAUACCAAUAGUUCAUAUAGAGGAUGUAUCCAAUGCCCACAUAUUUCUGAUGGAGCAUACAAGGUUGUCAUAUUUGUUGUGUUGAUUUUGCAACUAUCAAGUCUCUCAAAGAUUUUCCUGCUAUACAAUUAAAGACUGAACCUAAGUUGCAAGAGGAGAACUCCAUUAAUAGAUAAGUGUCAUUUUCUUCCAAAAAAUUAUUGGAUAUGGGCUUCUCUUACAAGUAUAUUUUGGAAAAAACAUUCAAACAGGGCAUAGAAUGUGCCAAAAGGAUUAAGAUUUUGAAUUAAUAGUUCAAGACAUC